UGAUGCCCAGUGCUGCAAGAUGACCCAGUUCAGACUUGGAUUCAACAUAGUGAGAAUGAAAUCACUAUUUAUAAACAUAUAAAGUAAAUAAGGAUUUUUAAAUGAAUUUCUGAAUUCAAAAGAUAUAGAUAAAAACAGAGUUAUAGUGACUUACUAUUCUUUUUUUUUUCUUCUGUGGCAUUCCAUUCUGAAAAUCUUUUUGGUGUAGUUGUAAAAGAAAGCGUGCUGUUUGAUUUGCUGUGCAUUGCUUCUGUCAGGUAGUUAAUACAGUGCCAUCAUAAGGAAAAGUAUCCAGCAGAUAAAGACCACCAAGAAGAUAUCUGGAUUUGAACAAAGUUUUGUUUAUUAGUACCUGUCACAUCAAGACAUAGUGCACACCUUGAGGAACCAUCUGGUUAUUAGGAGAGGAUUGUUACAGGAUCUAGGUUGUGUUAGGAGAUUUUGGGGAGGCUUCACGGGAACAUAGUUUUAAUCUAUAUUGGCUACUGUCAGAACAUAGGUGUAAUUCUAGGAUUGAGUAUCCUAAUACACAAUUUAUAUUUUGGUUGCUGGAAGAAUGCAACGUGACUAAAGCUAAAACUGAUUUAACAUAUUUUAUUCCUUUUUGUUGCUAGAUUAUAGGAGUGUAUAUUGUCAAAUUCUCAUAAAUUUUUUGUCACUCCUUUGAGAGAGGAAGAUAUUUGGUCAUUUUUACAUUUUUCAGAGUAUUUUUAUUUUUUUCUUGCGUAGACAUUAUUAUCGAGUGAUUAUGUUUUUGUCUCUUUCCAUCGCGGACAAAGAGUGACUGUAUGAUGCUGAUGUUCCAUGAAAUUGUUAGGUUCAGUAAGGACCACUUCAACAUUGCUUUUUUUUUUAAUAUUUCUAAUCUUCCUACCUUUUGUGUAUUAUUCAUAGCUUCCCAACUGUACAAUGCUGAAUAGAAAUGAUAAUAGUGAGAAAACUUGUUUUAUCCCUGAUUUUAAAGAUAAUACCUGCCAUGUUUCAUUAUCAAGUCUUUUGCUGUGGGAGGUUUAUAGACAUCUUUUAUCAUAGUAAAAAUAAAGUUCCUAUUUUCAAGAUAUUUUUCUGCAGCAAUAAGAUAACCAUAAUUGUUAUUUUUGUUUCCUAUCCAAGAAACUUUUGCCUAUGUUUUCUUCUAGCUGUGUUGCAGUUUUAUACUUUAUGUUUAUAUUUAUUAUCCAUUUUGUGUUAAAUUUUAUGUAUUAUGAGAUAUUUUUCUAUAUAUCAAUGUCCAAUUGUUCCAGGACCAUUUCCAUUUAUUGAGUCUAUCCUUUCU
RNAcentral lists this long non-coding RNA (1276 nucleotides) under Equus caballus (horse). Its description in RNAcentral is "lncRNA (ENSECAG00000056708.1)". The record is from RNAcentral. Lineage: Eukaryota; Metazoa; Chordata; Mammalia; Perissodactyla; Equidae.